GCCGUGGCGCCUUUUUCGUUAUCUUGUACUUUUGUGUUUUUGACAUUUAGGCCUGCGGUUGAUUGGUGGCGUUGGUUGUAAUGAUAUUUGUGACCGUUGGUCGUGUUCUUGUUUUGAGUGUUCGGUUGGGUUGGCCUGUUCUUGGCUUGUAAAAAAAAUGCAUCGAGACGCAAACUUUGCGUUUUCUCGGGAUUUUUUUUUGUUUUUAGAAGUCUCUGAAUCUCAGAUCGUGCAUGCGAACUCUCGAAAGGAUCGAGAUAACGUCCGUCGUUCGGACCUCACGAGCUGCGUUUGGAAUAAUCGACGCGAGUUUUCUCCACGGUGUUAUUUCGAGAUGAUUUGCUGACAGAUUUUCGGAGCGACCUACGAACCCCAGUGAGCCAGUAGUGACCAGUGUGAACGGGUAUAAGAGAAAUUAAAGGUGCGCACAGACACAGCGCAUGAGGGUAUGCAUAUCUGUCAUCCAUCUCAUUCAAUCCACAAGACUACAAUUAAGCUGUCUGCCGUGGGCUGUCUGCGCCCACAUCAUCAGACCUCAUGCUGUCGUCGUGUACAACAAGUACGUAUGGCGGUAAAACACAACACAACCGAUCAGCCGUACGUCCAACAACUCUCAGAUCAUCAUCGC
Molecule: long non-coding RNA, 628 nt
Filed under: Brachypodium distachyon (stiff brome)
Lineage: Eukaryota; Viridiplantae; Streptophyta; Magnoliopsida; Poales; Poaceae
Description: long non-coding RNA (BDIS_LNC000386)
Source: RNAcentral